CUACGGGAGGCAGCAGUGGGGAAUAUUGCACAAUGGAGGAAACUCUGAUGCAGCGACGCCGCGUGAACGAUGAAGGCUUUCGGGUCGUAAAGUUCUGUCCUAGGGGACGAUAAUGACGGUACCCUAGGAGGAAGCCCCGGCUAACUACGUGCCAGCAGCCGCGGUAAUA
This 169-nucleotide ribosomal RNA is filed under the name uncultured bacterium. RNAcentral describes it as "partial 16S ribosomal RNA". It matches the Rfam family "Bacterial small subunit ribosomal RNA", at positions 339 to 525 of the family's 1533-position model. The record is from RNAcentral.